This 596-nucleotide ribosomal RNA is filed under the name uncultured bacterium. RNAcentral describes it as "bacterial SSU rRNA". It matches the Rfam family "Bacterial small subunit ribosomal RNA", at positions 283 to 879 of the family's 1533-position model. The record is from RNAcentral.
GUAGGGGUUCUGAGAGGAAGGUCCCCCACAUUGGAACUGAGACACGGUCCAAACUCCUACGGGAGGCAGCAGUGAGGAAUAUUGGUCAAUGGGCGAGAGCCUGAACCAGCCAAGUAGCGUGCAGGAUGACGGCCCUAUGGGUUGUAAACUGCUUUUAUAAGGGAAUAAAGUGGGUCUCGUGAGCUCUUUUGCAUGUACCUUAUGAAUAAGGACCGGCUAAUUCCGUGCCAGCAGCCGCGGUAAUACGGAAGGUCCGGGCGUUAUCCGGAUUUAUUGGGUUUAAAGGGAGCGUAGGCCGCAGGUUAAGCGUGUUGUGAAAUGUAGGGGCUCAACCUCUGCACUGCAGCGCGAACUGGCUUGCUUGAGUACGCACAACGUGGGCGGAAUUCGUGGUGUAGCGGUGAAAUGCUUAGAUAUCACGAAGAACUCCGAUUGCGAAGGCAGCUCACGGGAGCGCAACUGACGCUGAAGCUCGAAAGUGCGGGUAUCGAACAGGAUUAGAUACCCUGGUAGUCCGCACGGUAAACGAUGGAUGCCCGCUGUUGGCUUGAAUUAGUCAGCGGCCAAGCGAAAGCAUUAAGCAUCCCACCUGGGGA